GUCUUUAUUUAAUGUUUUAAAGUCUAACCUGCCCACUGAAAAAUUAAAUGGCCGCGGUAUUUUGACCGUGCAAAGGUAGCAUAAUAAUUUGUUUUUUAAUUGAAAACUUGAAUGAAAGGUUGGACAAAAAACAAACUGUUUUUAAUUUUAAGUUUUAACUUUACUUUUAGGUGAAAAGGCCUAAAUAUUUUUUAAAGACGAUAAGACCCUAUAAAGCUUUAUAAUAUAUAAUUUUAAAAAAUUUAUGUAGUUUAAUAAAUGUUAAUUUUUUUUGUGUUAUUUUAUUGGGGUGAUAAAAAUAUUAAAAUAAAAAACUGUUUUUAUUACAUAACAAAGAUAUUUGAUGAAAUUUAUUGAUCCUUAAAUUUAAGAUUUAAAGUUUAAGUUACUUUAGGGAUAACAGCGUAAUUUUUUUUGAGAGUUCUUAUCGAAAAAAAAGUUUGCGACCUCGAUGUUGAAUUAGAAUUUCUUUAUUGGUGCAGAAGCCAUAAAAGUAAGUCUGUUCGACUUUUAAAAUUCU
This 520-nucleotide ribosomal RNA is filed under the name Phylladiorhynchus lini. Its description in RNAcentral is "partial large subunit ribosomal RNA". It matches the Rfam family "Archaeal large subunit ribosomal RNA", at positions 1953 to 2666 of the family's 2987-position model. Lineage: Eukaryota; Metazoa; Arthropoda; Malacostraca; Decapoda; Galatheidae. The record is from RNAcentral.